This 725-nucleotide long non-coding RNA is filed under the name Rattus norvegicus (Norway rat). RNAcentral describes it as "long non-coding RNA NONRATT007621". The record is from RNAcentral. Lineage: Eukaryota; Metazoa; Chordata; Mammalia; Rodentia; Muridae.
GUGACAUGAGGUGCCACACACAGGUACAGGGCUGAGGUGACAUGAGGUGCCACACACAGGUACAGGGCUGAGGUGACAUGAGGUGCCACACACACAGGUUUGGGGCUGAGGCAGCAUGGACACAGUUACUUGUAUUUAAGUUGUCAGCCCCGCAAUUCCUUGCUGAUCUCUUAACUGGGAAGCAGCUCACAUGUGAAUUAGAAAGACCCAGGCUCUCCAGGUGGCAGGGUCUGACCAAAGUGAGGCGCCACCAGGCAGCCCAACCCACUUACAGCCAACAUCACCAACUCCAUGACAAGCCAAAGGAGAGAGGAGCAGGUACACAGCCCCACAGAAAAGGUUUGAUCACCAGAGAGAAGCAAGUGUGCCUUGCGGAGUUCCCUUCGCAUGAGGACACUAAUGUAGUCUAAGAGGUUGCCAGUUUCUUGUGAUAAGUUCGCAAACUUACCAUGGUUUGUCUCCCCUAUAUGUUUUUAAAGAUGUGCUUGAAUUGUUUAGAAUAUCGGAAGUGCUAUGCAGUAACGUUUCCCUCCUACUUUUCCUGUUGGCUCUUUGGAAAGCAAUAGGCACUGAGGUUUUUCCUGGGCUGACCCUCAUCCUUUCCUGCUUUGCACAGCAACUCGGAUUCUCUUGUGCUGCUUCCAUGGUGUCUCCCAUCACUUUCCCCAUUUGCAGAUUACUCAGGGCCCGUGUGAAGAGAAUCACGGUUAAUGUUCUGAACCUCU